This 1236-nucleotide ribosomal RNA is filed under the name metagenome. Its description in RNAcentral is "bacterial LSU rRNA". It matches the Rfam family "Bacterial large subunit ribosomal RNA", at positions 1564 to 2808 of the family's 2925-position model. The record is from RNAcentral.
UGAGUACGAGAUGCUACGGCAUCGAAGCAGUCUAUGUCAUACUUCCAAGAAAAGCUUGCAAUGUCAUAAACAAAUAAUGCCUGUACCAUAACCGACACAGGUGGGUAGGUAGAGUAUACUAAGGGGCGCGAGAUAACUCUCUCUAAGGAACUCGGCAAAAUGACUCCGUAACUUCGGGAGAAGGAGUGCCUUAUUUUUAUAAGGUUGCAAUAACAAGAUCCAAGCAACUGUUUACCAAAAACACAGGUCUCCGCUAAGUCGUAAGACGAUGUAUGGGGGCUGACGCCUGCCCAGUGCCAGAAGGUUAAAGAAGUUGGUUAGCAUUAGCGAAGCUGAUAACUGAAGCCCUGGUGAACGGCGGCCGUAACAAUAACGGUCCUAAGGUAGCGAAAUUCCUUGUCGGGUAAGUUCCGACCCGCACGAAAGGCGUAAUGAUUUGGAUACUGUCUCGGAGAGGGGCUCGGUGAAAUAGACUUGUCUGUGAAGGUGCGGACUACCUGCACCUGGACAGAAAGACCCUAUGAAGCUUUACUGUAACUUGAGAUUGAAAUUGGACUUUAUCUGCGCAGUAUAGGUGGGAGACGUUGAAAAUAUUCUUGCGGGAAUAUUGGAGUCAUCAGUGAGAUACCACUCUUAUAAUGUUAGAUUUCUAACUUUGUAUCAUUAUCUGGUCAAAGAACAGUUUCAGGCGGGCAGUUUGACUGGGGCGGUCGCCUCCCAAACGGUAACGGAGGCGCACAAAGGUUUCCUCUGAACGUGUAGAAAUCGUAUCUAGAGUGUAAAGGCAUAAGGAAGCUUGACUGUGAGACCUACAAGUCGAGCAGGGACGAAAGUCGGUCUUAGUGAUCUGACGGUGCUGAGUGGAAAGGCCGUCACUCAACGGAUAAAAGUUACUCUAGGAUAACAGGCUGAUCUCCCCCAAGAGUUCGCAUCGACGGGGAGGUUUGGCACCUCGAUGUCGGCUCAUCGCAUCCUGGGGCGGUAGUACGUCCCAAGGGUUGGGCUGUUCGCCCAUGAAAGCGGUACGCGAGCUGGGUUCAGAACGUCGUGAGACAGUUCGGUCCAUAUCCGGUGUAGGCGUUAGAAUAUUGAGAGGAGCCUUCUUUAGUACGAGAGGACCGAGAAGGACAUACCUCUGGUGUACCAGUUAUCGUGCCAACGGUAAACGCUGGGUAGCCAUGUAUGGAGAGGAUAACCGCUGAAAGUAUCUAAGUGGGAAGCCCACCUCAAGAUAAG